UCAAAACAGCGGACUUCGGUCCUUGCUGCACCCUUGUCUUUUGCGUACCGUAUGUUUCCUCGGCGGGCUUGCCUGCCGGUUGGACAUUAUCAAACCUUUUUGUAGUUGCAAUCAGCGUCAGAAAAUAAUAAUAAUUA
This 137-nucleotide unclassified non-coding RNA is filed under the name uncultured fungus. RNAcentral describes it as "sequence contains ITS1". RNAcentral also lists the same sequence under 1 other name. Lineage: Eukaryota; Fungi. The record is from RNAcentral.